This 490-nucleotide ribosomal RNA is filed under the name uncultured bacterium. RNAcentral describes it as "bacterial SSU rRNA". It matches the Rfam family "Bacterial small subunit ribosomal RNA", at positions 149 to 672 of the family's 1533-position model. The record is from RNAcentral.
CGAGGAAACUUGUGCUAAUACCGGAUAAGUCUUUACGGAGAAAGCUUUAUGCACCAUUGGAUGAGCCUGCACUUGAUUAGUUUGUUGGUGGGGUAAUGGCCUGCCAAGACUGUGAUCAAUAGCUGAUUUGAGAGGAUGAUCAGCCACAUUGGGACUGAGACACGGCCCAAACUCCUACGGGAGGCAGCAGUGGGGAAUCUUGCACAAUGGAGGAAACUCUGAUGCAGCGAUGCCGCGUGAGUGAAGAAGGCCUUUGGGUUGUAAAGCUCUUUCGUCGGGGAAGAAAAUGACUGUACCCGAAUAAGAAGGUCCGGCUAACUUCGUGCCAGCAGCCGCGGUAAUACGAAGGGACCUAGCGUAGUUCGGAAUUACUGGGCUUNAAGAGUUCGUAGGUGGUUGAAAAAGUUGGUGGUGAAAUCCCAGAGCUUAACUCUGGAACUGCCAUCAAAACUUUUCAGCUAAAGUAUGAUAGAGGAAAGCAGAAUUUCUA